GCAUAUGUUCGCAGUUGUGAAAAGUUGUUGUCCAAUAGCACUUUUGGUCGGAUUGAUAUGCUCAGCGAGCUGCGUCUGUAAACGUCUUUCUGUUUUCCAAAUAUACGUUGCAGAACAGCCAAAAUAAAAAAAACUUUUUGUUGUCAUAAAUAACUAUGAAAUUUACAGGAACAGUUAGGCAUCUUUGUAUUUUCUUUAUGCAAUUUUUAACUAAAGUUUCACCUUGUUUACCAAGCCCAAGGUAUGGAACACGUACCCAAACCUUAGGCCUAGUGUCGUUUUCGUCAAAAAAGUUAGUGCGAGAUCGAUCCGUAGAAAAUUUGUUUUUGAGUUUGGAUAUCAAUAAAUUUCUGAUCGCACGAGGAAAGCCAUUCCAAGACAUAAACAUUUUAAGCUUCCAAACUUGGUUUUCAAAUAGUUGACUGGUGCUGCAUAAUUUUGAUGCUCGGUGAAACAAAGAUAUAACCCACGCAGUUUUACGUGAAAAUGGUUCAAAACUAGAAAAAUGCGUGUAUUGUCCAGUGUGCGUACUUUUGUAGUAAACAUCAGUG
This is a non-coding RNA of Paramuricea clavata, 551 nucleotides long. NCBI's taxonomy places the organism in Eukaryota, Metazoa, Cnidaria, Anthozoa, Malacalcyonacea, Plexauridae. The record is from the annotation of a GenBank genome assembly.